Molecule: small RNA, 143 nt
Filed under: Idiomarina sp. A28L
Lineage: Bacteria; Pseudomonadati; Pseudomonadota; Gammaproteobacteria; Alteromonadales; Idiomarinaceae
Description: isrN Hfq binding RNA
Rfam family: isrN Hfq binding RNA
Source: Rfam by way of RNAcentral
CGAUAACCUCGUCGUCUUUGCUGGUAUCAGGUUGAUAAGUGUAAACGGAGCGGCUUAGAUUCAGUGCUUUGCAACUCCGCCUGACACUCAAACCGUACUCUGAUACUAGAUAAUCGACGGUUUCGCGCUUGGCUGCCGGCGUC